AGAGUUCGAGUGUCGUUUUAAGAGACUUUUGAAGAAAUCAUUCUAAGCUUUCGACGACUCUUGUUGAUGAAAUUGAUGCAGAUGCGUGGCUUAUAUAAUGGCAAGAAAAAUGAUUCUGGUAAUGUCCUUUCUUAACUUCUACAAGUGACUCUACUUCGAGAGAGUUUCAGAAGCUUCUACCACCUUAGAUUAGGCUUUUCCAGAUCAUUACCCCCCAUUCCCACACGCAUGCCAAAAUAUAGAAGAGUGCUUGGAGCCAUGACCCCACCUGAAAGAAGAGGUAUUUAUGACUUCAUCCUUUGAUUUCUACCAGAAUUCCUGUGUAUUGGGUUGUUAAAAACAUUCAUGAUCUGACCUUUUAUUAUUUCACUCUCUAUUGAAUUAUAUUUUCCCUGCUACAAAUUUACCCCCAGUAGCAUGUACAUACUGCACAUUGACAAGUCAUUUAUGAUAGUAGUGCGUUCCAAAUCAUGGCGCCACUGCAAAUAUACUGAAAACCAAGUGCAGCCAAUAAAUUGCCCAUUAAAGGGUCUGGAGUAUUCUGAAGAUUUACACUCUAAGCUUUGAAUAUUUUUUUAAAAUAAACUCCAAAUACAGGGUUGAUGAGGAGAUUAGGUUAGAAGAGCAAUACAUCCCUACCGGUCUGUCAGAUCUAGCCAUUAUAAGAUGUGGCCCAUCAGGGGGCUGGAAGACAUUCUCUCUCCAAGUGGAUUCUGGAAAUUCAUGGAGCCUCUUAGUUUUGGUGGUGGAAGGGGACCCAAUUAGUGAAAGGGUCCUUACAUUUAAAGGCAUUACAAACAUUUCAAUAUAAGAGAUAAUAGAUUAAUUAGAACUGGGUGAAGGAGACAUUAAGCCCAGGGUGGAAAAUGCUUAUUCUAAUUGUAUUCAAUUUGUAAUUAAAUUCACCCUUGGUAUUAGCUGAAAUUUCUCAAAAGCUGGAAUACCCAGAGUUUGAGUCAUUUAGGAUAAUAUCAGGAAGAUGAGACAUCUGGAACAUUAAAUCAGGCAGCAAAUAGAAAGGCUACAUCACGCCAUAGACCAAAUUAAACUUCUCACAAUAUUAACUAAGACGAGUUGCAGAGGGGGACUCCACAUUAUUUACUUAGAACAACAUAAGCCAAGUUAUUCGCAGAGGGAACAGCUAGUUUUCUCUAUGCCUGCAUUGUCUUGUGAAUAUAGUCAUCCAGCUCUAUGAAGUUCUUGACAGCAAAUUCUUUUAUUACGUUUGGAUCAGGAAUCUCUGCACUUGCCUUCUCAAAGUCACAGGUCCAUUUCACCAAGCUCCCAUCUCCCUUUGGAGUGAUAACCAGUGUGGCCUUGAAAUUCUUGUAAU
This 1333-nucleotide long non-coding RNA is filed under the name Vitis vinifera (wine grape). RNAcentral describes it as "long non-coding RNA (VVIN_LNC000146)". The record is from RNAcentral. Lineage: Eukaryota; Viridiplantae; Streptophyta; Magnoliopsida; Vitales; Vitaceae.